This 253-nucleotide ribosomal RNA is filed under the name uncultured bacterium. RNAcentral's name for it is "partial 16S ribosomal RNA". It matches the Rfam family "Bacterial small subunit ribosomal RNA", at positions 524 to 776 of the family's 1533-position model. The record is from RNAcentral.
UACGUAGGGCGCAAGCGUUGUCCGGAAUCAUUGGGCGUAAAGAGCUCGUAGGUGGUCUGUUACGUCUGCUGUGAAAUCCUAGGGCUUAACCCUGGGCCUGCAGUGGAUACGGGCAGACUAGAGGUAGGUAGGGGAGAAUGGAAUUCCCGGUGUAGCGGUGAAAUGCGCAGAUAUCGGGAGGAACACCGGUGGCGAAGGCGGGUCUCUGGGCCGAUAUUGACGCUGAGGAGCGAAAGCGUGGGGAGCGAACAGG